AGUGAACGCUGGCGGUAGGCCUAACACAUGCAAGUCGAACGGCAGCACAGUAAGAGCUUGCUCUUACGGGUGGCGAGUGGCGGACGGGUGAGGAAUACAUCGGAAUCUACUUUUUCGUGGGGGAUAACGUAGGGAAACUUACGCUAAUACCGCAUACGACCUACGGGUGAAAGCAGGGGAUCUUCGGACCUUGCGCGAUUGAAUGAGCCGAUGUCGGAGUAGCUAGUUGGCGGGGUAAAGGCCCACCAAGGCGACGAUCCGUAGCUGGUCUGAGAGGAUGAUCACCCCCACUGGAACUCACACACGGUCCAGCCUCCUGCGGGAGGCAGCAGUGCCGACUCUUGGACAAUGGGCGCAAGCCUGAUCCAGCCAUCCCGCGUGGUUGAAGAAGGCCUUCGGGUUGUAAAGCCCUUUUGUUCGGAAAGAACAGCAGCAGUUUAAUACCCCGCUGUUCUGACGGUACCCAAAGAAUAAGCACCGGCUAACUUCGUG
Molecule: ribosomal RNA, 492 nt
Filed under: uncultured bacterium
Lineage: Bacteria
Description: partial 16S ribosomal RNA
Rfam family: Bacterial small subunit ribosomal RNA
Source: RNAcentral